UGGAUUUGUGUGUGCAUGUGUUGUGAUUGGUCGUCGGCCAAGAGCAUUGAUUGGUUAAAUUAUUUUCAUCUUAAUUUAUUUCAAGAGUGGAAUAGAAGAAGGGUCAUGGGAAAGAAGAGGAGAAAAACUUAAUUUCCUUUUUUUUUUUGUUUUUCCCUUGUUCUUUUCCACUGGAUUUAGUGAGAAUAACACCAUUUGCAUGAGGGAGAAAACUAUGGUCUUGGCUUGCCUAGAAGUUGUUCUUUCGAGUGUUG
RNAcentral lists this long non-coding RNA (254 nucleotides) under Gossypium raimondii (Peruvian cotton). RNAcentral's name for it is "long non-coding RNA (GRAI_LNC007485)". Lineage: Eukaryota; Viridiplantae; Streptophyta; Magnoliopsida; Malvales; Malvaceae. The record is from RNAcentral.